Molecule: ribosomal RNA, 406 nt
Filed under: uncultured bacterium
Lineage: Bacteria
Description: partial 16S ribosomal RNA
Rfam family: Bacterial small subunit ribosomal RNA
Source: RNAcentral
AUUGAACGCUGGCGGCAGGCCUAACACAUGCAAGUCGAACGAGUGGCGGAGGGGUGAGUAAUGUCGGGGAAACUGCCCGGUGGAGGGGGAUAAAUACUGGAAACGGUAGAUAAUACCGCAUCCCAUCGGAUGUCCCCAGGUGGGAUUAGCUAGUGGGUGGGGUAAAGGCUCACCUAGGCGACGAUCCCUAGCUGGUCUGAGAGGAUGACCAGCCACACUGGAACUGAGACACGGUCCAGACUCCUACGGGAGGCAGCAGUGGGGAAUAUUGCACAAUGGGCGCAAGCCUGAUGCAGCCAUGCCGCGUGUAUGAAGAAGGCCUUCGGGUUGUAAAGUACUUUCAGCGGGGAGGCGUUACCCGCAGAAGAAGCACCGGCUAACUCCGUGCCAGCAGCCGCGGUAAUUC